GUAUAUUUGAGGUGUUAACCUCCAUUGAGUAAUCAAUUCCCAGUUCCUCAUAUGUCCUUGUUCUUAUUUGCCUAAAGCACCUGCUUGACACAGAAUAUCUAUGCAGCAAAGUACUCUUCCAUGAUCCUAUGCUUGUGCCUAUUCUUAACUUCCUUCCAGUGGAAAGAAUGCAUAGCAUUAAUACCACCAACUGGAAUUCCGUUAAUAAAUAGGGCAUAGGCACAGUUACUUCCCCUGCAAAAAAGAAAACCCUGUUAAUAUCAUAAGUUUUCACCCUACUAUCCUCCAAAUGGAUUUGAGUAUGGUGAUCAGGUGUGAACCUUUCUACAGCUUUUUCCUUCCU
This 343-nucleotide long non-coding RNA is filed under the name Nicotiana benthamiana. RNAcentral describes it as "long non-coding RNA (NBEN_LNC004793)". The record is from RNAcentral. Lineage: Eukaryota; Viridiplantae; Streptophyta; Magnoliopsida; Solanales; Solanaceae.